GCCGGGCACAGUAGUGCGUUCCUGUAGUCCCCCCUACUCAGGAGGCUGAGGCGGGAGGAUCUCUUGAGCCCAGGAGUUCUGGGCUGUAGUGUGCUAUGCCGGUUGGGUGUCCACAUCAACACGGUGACCUCCCAGAAGCAGGGGACCACAGGUUGCCUAAGGAGGGGUGAACCGGCCCAGGUUGGAAAUGGAGCAGGUCAGAACUCCCAUGCUGAUCAGUAGUGGGAUUGUGCCUGUGAAUAGCCACUGCACUCCAGCCUGGGCAACAUAGAGACCCCGUCUCUU
Callithrix jacchus (white-tufted-ear marmoset) is the source of this 285-nucleotide unclassified non-coding RNA. It matches the Rfam family "Metazoan signal recognition particle RNA". Rfam says of the family: The signal recognition particle (SRP) is a universally conserved ribonucleoprotein. The record is from Ensembl. Lineage: Eukaryota; Metazoa; Chordata; Mammalia; Primates; Cebidae.